UUUCCGGUUGAUCCUGCCGGCGGCUACCGCUAUUGGAGUUCGAUUAAGCCAUGCGAGUCGAGAGUCUUAGGGACUCGGCGUACCGCUCAGUAACACGUGGGUAACCUGCCCUAUGCUGGGGAAUAACCUCGGGAAACUGAGAAUAAUGCCCCAUAGUUCACUACGCCUGGAACGGUGAGUGGAUGAAAGCUCCGGCGGCAUAGGAUGGGCCUGCGGCGUAUCAGGUCGUAGGGGGUGUAACGUACCCUCUAGCCAUCGACGCGUACGGGUGUUGGGAGACAUAGCCCGGAGAUGGAUUCUGAGACACGAAUCCAGACCCUACGGGGUGCAGCAGGCGCGAAAACUUGGCAAUGCGAGAAAUCGUGACCAGGGAACUCCAAGUGGCUGGGGUAAGACCCAGUCUUUUCUUGACUCUUCAAAGGUCUUGGAAUAAGAGGUGGGUAAGGACGGUGCCAGCCGCCGCGGUAAUACUGGCGCCUCAAGUGGUAGUCGAUUUUAUUGGGCCUAAAACGUCCGUAGCCUGUUUGGUACAUUCGUGGGUAAAUCAACCAGCUCAACUGGUUGAAUUCUGCGAGCACGGCCAGACUUGGGACCGGGAGAGG
This 602-nucleotide ribosomal RNA is filed under the name uncultured archaeon. RNAcentral describes it as "bacterial SSU rRNA". It matches the Rfam family "Archaeal small subunit ribosomal RNA", at positions 1 to 608 of the family's 1478-position model. The record is from RNAcentral.